AGUGAACGCUGGCGGUAGGCCUAACACAUGCAAGUCGAACGGCAGCACAGUAAGAGCUUGCUCUUACGGGUGGCGAGUGGCGGACGGGUGAGGAAUACAUCGGAAUCUACUUUUUCGUGGGGGAUAACGUAGGGAAACUUACGCUAAUACCGCAUACGACCUACGGGUGAAAGCAGGGGAUCUUCGGACCUUGCGCGAUUGAAUGAGCCGAUGUCGGAUUAGCUAGUUGGCGGGGUAAAGGCCCACAAAGGCGACGAUCCGUAGCCGGUCUGAGAGGAUGAUCAGCCACACUGGAACUGAGACACGGUCCAGACUCCUACGGGAGGCAGCAGUGGGGAAUAUUGGACAAUGGGCGCAAGCCUGAUCCAGCCAUACCGCGUGGGUGAAGAAGGCCUUCGGGUUGUAAAGCCCUUUUGUUGGGAAAGAAAAGCAGCAGGUUAAUACCCCGCUGUUCUGACGGUACCCAAAGAAUAAGCACCGGCUAACUUCGUG
Molecule: ribosomal RNA, 492 nt
Filed under: uncultured bacterium
Lineage: Bacteria
Description: partial 16S ribosomal RNA
Rfam family: Bacterial small subunit ribosomal RNA
Source: RNAcentral